RNAcentral lists this ribosomal RNA (467 nucleotides) under uncultured bacterium. RNAcentral describes it as "partial 16S ribosomal RNA". It matches the Rfam family "Bacterial small subunit ribosomal RNA", at positions 29 to 507 of the family's 1533-position model. The record is from RNAcentral.
AUGAACGCUGGCGGCGUGCUUAACACCUGCAAGUCGAACGGUGAACACGGAGCUUGCUCUGUGGGAUCAGUGGCGAACGGGUGAGUAACACGUGAGCAACCUGCCCCUGACUCUGGGAUAAGCGCUGGAAACGGCGUCUAAUACUGGAUAUGUGACGUGAUCGCAUGGUCUGCGUCUGGAAAGAAUUUCGGUUGGGGAUGGGCUCGCGGCCUAUCAGCUUGUUGGUGAGGUAAUGGCUCACCAAGGCGUCGACGGGUAGCCGGCCUGAGAGGGUGACCGGCCACACUGGGACUGAGACACGGCCCAGACUCCUACGGGAGGCAGCAGUGGGGAAUAUUGCACAAUGGGCGCAAGCCUGAUGCAGCAACGCCGCGUGAGGGAUGACGGCCUUCGGGUUGUAAACCUCUUUUAGCAGGGAAGAAGCGAAAGUGACGGUACCUGCAGAAAAAGCGCCGGCUAACUACGUG